GUAUUUAUUUGAAUUAAGUAUAUUCAUAAUAUGUUAUCAGACGAAUGUUGUUAAAGAUAUAGGUUGAUAUUUGUGAAGGGAAAGAGUUGCCUCUCUCCCAACAAACAUUGCACACAAGGUGGAUAUGGAUUUUUAAAGAGUGCCAUAAAACACUCAUUGUGAAUGAUCCUUCCGCAGGUUCACCUACGGAAA
RNAcentral lists this unclassified non-coding RNA (192 nucleotides) under uncultured fungus. RNAcentral describes it as "sequence contains ITS1". The record is from RNAcentral. Lineage: Eukaryota; Fungi.